AAGCAACACAUUGAUACCUGCAUGUAUGGCACAACUGAAGCAACAGCAACAUUUCCCUGUCCUGUGGGAAUGGCCUCGCGGACUAGUAAGGCCACUUUCUUGCUCCUAGCACCUUGCAUCUGAUGCUUCGUUCUCAAGGAAAAUCUCUUAAGACUCUCUUCUGGCUGUGGCCAGUUUCUGGAAUCCCUGAUUGGUUUAGUCAGAGCUCGUGGAAAUCACUAUUACUAAUAGGCAUGGGCAAGUACAUGUUGUGUCAUCUGGGACUCUAGCAUUGGAAUUCAUGGGGCAUCUUGUAACAGGAGGCCUGGACUGAGUACUGUAACUGAACUCUGAGGUUCUAACACGCUCCCAACAAGAGUAAUGAUGGAACUGUAGGGUUUAAUCCAAAUGCAAAAUGCCCAUGUGAGGAAUACAGAAAUUAAUCCAGUCUUUUAGAAAACUGACAUCAGCUUGAGUUUAAGUUGAGGAACAAUUUGUGCAGGACCCAGAGGGCUUCCUGACUAAGUGCUGUCAUCUGACUGUGCUAUAGGAGAUCAUCAUCUCAGUUCCUGUUCUUCCAGGUGGUUUGAAGAAGUCCGACUGUUUGAGAGAACCUUCUGGUUCCCUAAUUCUGCCCCUACUUAAGGCUAAAGCCAUGUUGCAAUCUGAAACAUGAGCUUGAGGUCACUGGAUCCUGUUGUUGAUUGGUCUUCCUGGCACAUUGGUUAAAUUUCUGCAUGGCAAUGAAGUUUGGCUGGUCCCCCACAAAGGAAAAGAGUCAGAGAAUGUAGACAGGCUGACAGUUUGUCAGUGUCAUCAGUUUGGAAAGUUGUCCUUGGCAGUGUUCUGAAGAAGUGUCCUUCCCAAUCCUUGAACUGUUCUAACCUUUGCCUGAAGGCUAAACUCUAAAAGACAGGCCCCAACUAGGGGAUUAUCAUGUUGACUGCCAAAUCUUUCUCUGUAUUCACAAGGCCCAGAAAAUCUGGUGUGCUUUGUAAGCCCCUCCUGAAUCUGCACGAAGUCUGAGUCCAUUUCAGUCUUCUGGACAGAGACAAAGGAAGGAAAAGUAUAAUAUGACUGCUAACUUGCUCAGCACCCUUUACCUACCCACCCUGCAUCCCAACAUGUCAUGUGGAAAAGUCCUCAUUUUUUAUAUUGAGAAGGGUUUUUUGUUUGUUUGAUUAAUUUUUGAUUUUUCAGUGAAGUCAUUUUCUUUGUGUCAAUACCUUUUUCUCUACACUUACCAGGCUGUUGUAAGAAAUAAACUGAGAAACAUUUGAUCUCUCCUCUUCCUCCACCAAGUGCUGACCCUCAGGCUGCACCACCAAUAAAUAGGGACCUGAAGAAAGGAAUGGGAGUUGUGUUUAUUUAAAAAAAGAUUAGACAGAAGGAAUACGUUUGGUGGAUGUGUAGUCAGGUAUGUGGAAGAGGGUGCCUCUGAGGGCCCAUGUUGAGGCAUCCCUUCCCUCUGAGAGGCAUAGGGAAGGGAGUUGAAAGGGUAGUAGGGACAGAGAAAGGGAGAGAGAGAGAGAGAGAGAGAGAGAGAGAGAGAGAGAGAGAGAGAGAGAGAAGAGGAGUAGAGGCUGGCCAUGAGCAUGCAGAGAAAGAAGGGAGGGGAAUGAGGAGAGAGGGGGGAAGGGGAGAGAGGACAGAAGGAGCAAGAAGGCAAGAACAAGAGAGAGAGGGGGAGGAGGAGGGGGCAAACAGUCCUUUUUAUUGUGAGUCAGGCACACCUGGCUGUUGCCAGGUAACUUGGGGGCAGAGUUUAAACAAAAUGCUGACAAUGGGGACUGGGGUCAGUUGGACAUAAAGGACUGUGGAGACUGCUGGAGACCAGAGUACUACCAUCCUGCAGUUAGUGAGAGAUAAAGCUGCAACAUUUCCAGCACUUCUCCAACCGCAACUCAGCUCAGCGGUAGCUGUUUUUCAGAAACUUCUGCUUUCCUCAACAGAAGGAAGUGAAAUAGAGAUGUUACUUUCUGGGUGGUUUAGCAAAACCGCUCUCUGUAUACCAUGUGCAACCUCCACACAACGACUUCCACAAUUGUGUCAAACCCAUCAAGCUACUCAACACACACACCAACAUACCACACACACACACACAUACACUCUCGUGCACACACACACACACACACACACACACACACAGAGAGACACACACACUCACAUUGAAAGCUAUGACAAAAGGAAUCAAUCUCAAGAAAAAUCAAACAUGUUUUGCCAUUGGGAUGGUAUUUGUUCAAAUGCUGUCUGUUAUGUAAGAGGUUGUGGGCCAAGGUUGGGGGAGGGACAGAUGGGGAAAUUCCAAUGUGUGCAAUUUUUGUGGAAAGGAUGACCGUAGGAGUAAUGCAGUCUCAGGAUUUCAUUGUGGGAACUCGGGAGUACUGAGGGUGGGAAUGAAGCCAGAGAAAGAAAGUAGAAUUACUUUUGACAUUCUUCACAGGUUUGUUUAAGGGGCACCUCAUUGAGAGUCUGCUCAGAGCACUUGCGUGUGGUUUGCAGAGAGCGAUGGAGAUCAACUUUGCCCAUCCCUGAUCAAAAUGUAGAGAAACCUGCUAAGGUGUCUGGAGGACGGGGAAUCAAACAUAAUUGAAGAAAUACCUGGGGAUUGGAUGGGAGAGGGACUCAUGAGUUCCCACCCCUCACUGCAGAGCUAAUGGCAGUGGUGCCAGGAGGAGGAGGGUCAGUUUUCUUCAGAGAUGCAGUUCUGAGGAAGAUGGGGAACUGGGAGGGCAUAGGAGACAGAAAUAGGAGAGUUGGAGGGGAAGACUAUGAUCCAAAUGCAUUGUAUCUAAUAUAUGACAUUUUCAAAGAAUAAGUUUAAGUAUAUUUUUAGAAAACUAUGCUGCUGCUGUAACAACCUGUGGUACAAAUUCAUGACACUGAUACAGGCCUGAAGAGGCCCGUGGUUCUGACUUCAUUGAAAAGGCAAUUUUAUUUUGCAGUUAUGUUAUCUCCUAUGACAAAACAAAAAGUAGUAAAUAAUAAUACCUUAUAAAGAAAUAUGAAUACAACUAGACAUAACCAACGCCAUCUUAAUUGUCCUUGGUUAUAGGACAACCCAAUGUGGUUAUAAAACCACCCUGGCUUAACGUUCCUGAUACAGCUGCCAACCAUUGAGCUGUUUGUUCUUGAUUUCUGCUGAAGUGGGUUGGGUACUUUCCAGUAAAAACCGCCUAAACCCGUCCUUACUCAUAUUUGCCUAGCACGUAGCAGAGAAGCCUUCCUGUUUGCACACCAUGCUGCUGGCUCAUAGCCCUGUGAUCAGACAUAUUUCCUCCUGUGGCAGCUGCUUCUUAUUCACCAGAACUCCAUGUUUCCUGAAACAGGCUUUCUCCAUAUUGUGGAAAACUUGCAUGAUUGAAUCUUCCUACUUCUGAAGAUGAAAUGAGUAGUUCUUUGCACACAAAGUUUGGAGGGUGCUUCUCAUUCUUCUCUUCUUCUCCUUUUUCUCAUUUACCUGAGAAGAAUUUUAAAUGGGUCAAAGGAAUGAGUGUCAGUCACCAAACUGACAAGUUGCCUUGAAUACCUGUAACUUUGUUAGAAUAAUAAAUUCUGGAGAAAACUA
Rattus norvegicus (Norway rat) is the source of this 3547-nucleotide non-coding RNA. The record is from RefSeq and is a predicted model, not a curated record. Lineage: Eukaryota; Metazoa; Chordata; Mammalia; Rodentia; Muridae.